ACUCCUACGGGGAGGCAGCAGUGGGGGAAUAUUGCACAAUGGGGGAAACCCUGAUGCAGCCAUGCCGCGUGUGUGAAGAAGGCCUUCGGGUUGUAAAGCACUUUCAGUAGGGAGGAAGGUAGUGUAGUUAACACCUGCACUAUUUGACGUUACCUACAGAAGAAGCACCGGCUAACUCCGUGCCAGCAGCCGCGGUAAUACGGAGGGGUGCGAGCGUUAAUCGGAAUUACUGGGCGUAAAGCGCAUGCAGGCGGCCUGUUAAGUCAGAUGUGAAAGCCCGGGGGCUUAACCUCGGAAUUGCAUUUGAAACUGGCAGGCUAGAGUCUUGUAGAGGGGGUAGAAUUUCAGGUGUAGCGGUGAAAUGCGUAGAGAUCUGAAGGAAUACCAGUGGCGAAGGCGGCCCCCUGGACAAAGACUG
Molecule: ribosomal RNA, 418 nt
Filed under: uncultured bacterium
Lineage: Bacteria
Description: bacterial SSU rRNA
Rfam family: Bacterial small subunit ribosomal RNA
Source: RNAcentral